UACGAAGGGGGCUAGCGUUGCUCGGAAUUACUGGGCGUAAAGGGAGCGUAGGCGGGUCGACAAGUUGGAGGUGAAAGCCCAGGGCUCAACCUUGGAAUUGCCUUCAAAACUGUCGAUCUUGAGUAUGGGAGAGGUAAGCGGAACUCCGAGUGUAGAGGUGAAAUUCGUAGAUAUUCGGAAGAACACCAGUGGCGAAGGCGGCUCACUGGCCCGGUACUGACGCUGAGGUGCGAAAGCGUGGGGAGCAAACAGG
RNAcentral lists this ribosomal RNA (253 nucleotides) under uncultured bacterium. RNAcentral describes it as "partial 16S ribosomal RNA". It matches the Rfam family "Bacterial small subunit ribosomal RNA", at positions 524 to 776 of the family's 1533-position model. The record is from RNAcentral.